Molecule: ribosomal RNA, 770 nt
Filed under: uncultured Alteromonas sp.
Lineage: Bacteria; Pseudomonadati; Pseudomonadota; Gammaproteobacteria; Alteromonadales; Alteromonadaceae
Description: bacterial SSU rRNA
Rfam family: Bacterial small subunit ribosomal RNA
Source: RNAcentral
GGUGAGUAAUGCUUGGGAACUUGCCUUUGCGAGGGGGAUAACAGUUGGAAACGACUGCUAAUACCGCAUAAUGUCUUCGGACCAAACGGGGCUUCGGCUCCGGCGCAAAGAGAGGCCCAAGUGAGAUUAGCUAGUUGGUAAGGUAACGGCUUACCAAGGCGACGAUCUCUAGCUGUUCUGAGAGGAAGAUCAGCCACACUGGGACUGAGACACGGCCCAGACUCCUACGGGAGGCAGCAGUGGGGAAUAUUGCACAAUGGGGGAAACCCUGAUGCAGCCAUGCCGCGUGUGUGAAGAAGGCCUUCGGGUUGUAAAGCACUUUCAGUUGUGAGGAAAAGUUAGUAGUUAAUACCUGCUAGCCGUGACGUUAACAACAGAAGAAGCACCGGCUAACUCCGUGCCAGCAGCCGCGGUAAUACGGAGGGUGCGAGCGUUAAUCGGAAUUACUGGGCGUAAAGCGCGCGCAGGCGGUUUGUUAAGCUAGAUGUGAAAGCCCCGGGCUCAACCUGGGAUGGUCAUUUAGAACUGGCAGACUAGAGUCUUGGAGAGGGGAGUGGAAUUCCAGGUGUAGCGGUGAAAUGCGUAGAUAUCUGGAGGAACAUCAGUGGCGAAGGCGACUCCCUGGCCAAAGACUGACGCUCAUGUGCGAAAGUGUGGGUAGCGAACAGGAUUAGAUACCCUGGUAGUCCACACCGUAAACGCUGUCUACUAGCUGUGUGUGUCUUUAAGACGUGCGUAGCGAAGCUAACGCGCUAAGUAGACCGCCUGGG